UACGUAGGGUGCGAGCGUUAAUCGGAAUUACUGGGCGUAAAGCGUGCGCAGGCGGUGAUGUAAGACAGAUGUGAAAUCCCCGGGCUCAACCUGGGAACUGCAUUUGUGACUGCAUCGCUGGAGUGCGGCAGAGGGGGAUGGAAUUCCGCGUGUAGCAGUGAAAUGCGUAGAUAUGCGGAGGAACACCGAUGGCGAAGGCAAUCCCCUGGGCCUGCACUGACGCUCAUGCACGAAAGCGUGGGGAGCAAACAGA
This 253-nucleotide ribosomal RNA is filed under the name uncultured bacterium. RNAcentral's name for it is "partial 16S ribosomal RNA". It matches the Rfam family "Bacterial small subunit ribosomal RNA", at positions 524 to 776 of the family's 1533-position model. The record is from RNAcentral.